This 3425-nucleotide long non-coding RNA is filed under the name Sus scrofa (pig). Its description in RNAcentral is "lncRNA (ENSSSCG00000062822.1)". Lineage: Eukaryota; Metazoa; Chordata; Mammalia; Artiodactyla; Suidae. The record is from RNAcentral.
UCCUGCAGCUGCUGGCCAAAUAGUCCUUUAUCCUGUGAGGUAGAACCCUUUACUAAAAUUUCCUCUUCCUUGGCAAAGGCUGCUGUUAAAGGCUCCGGACAAUGUGUAUGAAGUGCCCUUUAUUAUGGCUUUUGAUUUUUCUCAUCCAUGAAGAAUUUCUGCACCACCUUCAAAUUCCCAAUGGGUCUUGUCUAAGAUUUGUUCUCCCCCAAAGUAACUCACUAAUUGGUGAAUUACACAGGUCUUAUGAUCAUCUUCACAAUGGUUGGUACACCUUGAAAUCAGUAUAUCAAGCAUGUUGGAAUAUUUGAAGGAGGCUGAAAAAUAAAGCAUUUUAUAUGUAUUAUCUCAUAAGAUUUAUAGGCAUCAUAGAGGGAUACCUCUUGUCAGCACUCCUAUUUUACAGAUGAGAAAACCAAAAUUUACAGAGAUGUAUAAUUUUUCCCAGAUUAAUCACCUAGCAGUUGGUUUAGCUGGAAUAUCAGGUAGAUUGGACUCCAGAAUAUCAGCUCUAAUCUGGUUGGUUGAUUUGUUUGUUUUUCUGACUAGUUUGUAGGUUCUCUUCCUCUUGAUGUGGGAGAACAGUUUUGUGCCCUUGUGAAAUUUAGUUCCAAGGAAAAGAGAGGCAAUCAGCGAUUAGAAUGGCCAGGUUAUAAUGAUGUGGUAAUCAAACAUUUCAAAGGAACUAAGUGCCACCUCUUGGCCUGGGUCACACCACUGGACAAGUAGGUCCUACAACCCCUGAUAAAAGCAGAGUGUCCAUUGGGCCAGCACAGCCUUCCUCUUUGAUCUGGGUAUUUGGUGUUCUCUGGAGUAAUCAAGAUCUGGGUGAUGGGGCAAUGGAAAUGGAACAUCAUUUGGGAGUGGCAGGAACCAGAGGAUUAUGGGUAUAUGCUCUCUUGAUGAUGGCAAGUUCUAUGUUAUGUGCUCAUAAGUAACUGAAGAAGACUACCAGGUUCUCAUUCAUGUAAGACCUCAAACAAUUAUGCAAGUGACCUCACAGCAAAAUCUGAAAGAACUCCCUCUGGAUGCAGUGGAUUCCAGGCUGAUGAUAGAUGCACAGUUUAACACUGAUGGCAAUUACACCAUGUUCUGCAGCAAGGAUGCAAAUGAUCACAACUGAGGUUGAAAAGGAUAAAAAACAAGGUAGGAUGGUUUUUGAAAUUUGAUAGGUUUCCAUCUAUUUUUGCAUGCUUUGACCAUGUUAAUGCUCUUUUCCUUAAAGACAAGUUUUUUUAGAAAUUAUAGUUGGUUUACAAUGUGCCAAUUUCUGUUGUACAGCAAAGUGACCAAGUCAUACGUAUACAUUCCAUUUCUUUUUUCUUUUUUUUUUUUUUGAGGGUUUAAAACUUUGAUUGGCGUAUACUUGACUUACAGUAUUAUAUUAGUUUCAGGAGUACAGCAAGUUGAAUCAGUUGUACAUAACCUAUAUCUAUUCUUUUUCAGAUUCUUUUCCUAUGUAAGUUAUUGCAGAGUAUUGAGUAGAUUUCCCUGUGCUAUACAGUAGGUCCUUGUUAGUUAUUUAUUUUAUGUGUAAUUGUGUAUAUGUAAAUCCAAGACUCCCAAUUUAUCCCCCCCAUAGUUUCUCCUUUAGUAACUAUAAGUUUGAUUUUGAAAUCUGUGAGUAUAUUUUAUCAAGUUCUUUUAUAUAAUUUUUAUUAUAUUCCACAUACAAAUAAUCUCAGAUGGUAUUUGUCUUUCUCUGUCUGACAUACUUCACUUAGUAUGACAAUCUCUAGGUCUAACCAUGUUGCUACAAAUGGCAUUAUUUCAUUCUUUUUUUUAUGACUACCAUUCCAUUGUAUAUAUGUACCACAUCUUCUUUAUCCAUUUAUUUGUUUUUUUCCAUUAUAGUUGGCUUACAGUGUUCUGUCAAUUUCUACUGUACAGUAAAGUGACCCAGUCACACAAAUAUACACAUUCUUUUUCUCACAUUAUCCUCCAUCAUGUUGCAUCACAAGUGACUAGGUAUAGUUCCCUGUGCUAUACAGCAUGAUCUCAUUGCCUAUCUAUUCCAGAGGCGAUAGUUUGCAUCUAUUAACCCCAGACUUCCAGUCCAUCCUACUCCCUCCCCAUCCCCUGUUCUCCAAGUCCAUGAGUUUAUUUUCUGUGGAAAGGUUCAUUUGUCCAGUAUAUUAGAUUCCAGAUAUAAGUGAUAUGAUAUUGUAUUUGUCUUUUUCUUUCUGACUUACUUCACUUAGUAUGAGCAUCUCUAGUUCCAUCCAUAUCGCUGCAAAUGGCAUUAUUUCAUUCUUUUUUAUGGCUGAGUAUAUUCCAUUGUGUAUAUAUACAUCUUCUUAAUACAUUCCUUUUAUUAUCUUUCAUCAUGUUUUAUCUCCAAAGACUGGAUAUAGUUCCCUGUGCUGUGCAGUAGGACCUCAUUGUUUAUACAUAAUAAAUGUGAUAGUUUGCACUGACUAACCCCAAACUCCCAGUCCAUCCCACUUUCUCCCCACUCCCCCUUGGCAACCACAAGUCUGUUCUCUAUGUCUGUGAGUGUGUUUCUGUUCUGUGGAUAGAUUCAUCUGUGCCAUAUUUUAGAUUCCACAUAUAAGUGAUAUGGUAUGGUAUUUUUCUUUCUGACUUACUUCACUUUGUAUGAGAAUCUUGUUUCAUCUGCAUUGCUGCAAAUGGCAUUAUUUUGUUCUUUUUAUGGCUGAGUAAUAUUCUUUUGUGUAUGUAUAUCACAUCUUCUUAAUCCUUUCAUCUGUUGAUGGACAUUUAGGUUGUUUCUAUGUAGUGACAAGUUUUGAUCAAAACUUGAACAUGUGUUUGAAAAUAAGAGGAUACACCUUUAAUUUCUGCUUGUGUGGGUGUGGCAGAAGAGAAUGGAGGCUUGGACAGUAAUUGCCAAUCACAAGCAGAACAAUUCUCCACCACCCCACACCCUCUGAAAAUCUCAGGGCCUCUGGAUCUCUUCCUUGAGAUUUGAUGGAGAUUGACAAGUUGUUUAAUGAGAUAUCUUCUGCUUCCUCACAGAGGGACUCCAGUGCUCAUUAUAGAAACCUACAGAAAAAAUAGUUUCAUAGUUAAUGAAAAUAAGAGUAGAUAUGAGAGAGGGUGCCAUUAAAGAAACUUGUCCUCUAAAGUCAAAAUAUAUGAACAAAUUCAGAAUAUUAAAAUCUGUAUAGAAAACUCUCUGGGCUCUCCAGACACAUCAAUCUCAUGAAAGACAAAAAUAGUGAUGAGAAGGAGCUGUGCUAGUUGAAAAGAGAGUGUAUAGACAUAAUCAAAUGCAACAUGUGAAACUUGAGUGGAUUUGGAUCAGGAAAAAGAAAAGAUGUGAAAGAUGUUUUGGGGCACAAUUGAAAAUAAUUUAAAUAUGGACUCUAUUACAUAAUGUUAUUGAUUUUACAUUAAUCUUCUUAAGUAUGGCAUUGAUUUCCUGGCUAUAGAGAAGACCUUUAUUCUUGGAGCAUUAAAUG